RNAcentral lists this ribosomal RNA (253 nucleotides) under uncultured bacterium. RNAcentral describes it as "partial 16S ribosomal RNA". It matches the Rfam family "Bacterial small subunit ribosomal RNA", at positions 524 to 776 of the family's 1533-position model. The record is from RNAcentral.
CACGUAGGGCGCAAGCGUUGUCCGGAAUUAUUGGGCGUAAAGAGCUCGUAGGCGGUCUGUUGCGUCCGCUGUGAAAACUCGGGGCUUAACCCCGAGCCUGCAGUGGAUACGGGCAGACUAGAGGUAGGUAGGGGAGAAUGGAAUUCCCGGUGUAGCGGUGAAAUGCGCAGAUAUCGGGAGGAACACCGGUGGCGAAGGCGGUUCUCUGGGAUGGUACUGACGCUGAGACGCGAAAGCGUGGGGAGCGAACAGG